This is a non-coding RNA of Oryza meridionalis, 200 nucleotides long. Lineage: Eukaryota; Viridiplantae; Streptophyta; Magnoliopsida; Poales; Poaceae. The record is from Rfam.
UUUAAGCGCAGCCAUAAGUUUUUGUGUCUAAUUUUGAUCGUCCAUUUUAUUUAAAUUUUUUUAUGAUUAAUAUUUUUAUUCUUAUUAGAAGAUAAAACAUGAAUAAUCCUUUAGUGGUGACUUAUGUUUUUAAUUUUUUUUAAAAAAAACAGAUAAGACAAAAUAUUAAAGUUAGAAAAAAAAAUAUGGUUGCGCGACGG